UAGGGAUUUUCCACAAUGGCGAAAGCCUGAUGGAGCAACGCCGGGUGGGGAUGAAGGCUUUCGGGUCGUAAAGCACUGUUGUAUGGGAAGAAAAGUUAAGGUAGGGAAUGACCUUAGCCUGACGGUACCAUACCAGAAAGGGACGGCUAAAUACGUGCCAGCAGCCGCGGUAAUACGUAUGUCCCGAGCGUUAUCCGGAUUUAUUGGGCGUAAAGCGAGCGCAGACGGUUGGUUAAGUCUGAUGUGAAAGCCCGGAGCUCAACUCCGGAAAGGCAUUGGAAACUGGUUAACUUGAGUGCAGUAGAGGUAAGUGGAACUCCAUGUGUAGCGGUGGAAUGCGUAGAUAUAUGGAAGAACACCAGCGGCGAAGGCGGCUUACUGGACUGUAACUGACGUUGAGGCUCGAAAGUGUGGGUAGCAAACAGGAUUAGAUACCCUGGUAGUCCACACCGUAAACGAUGAACACUAGGUGUUAGGAGGUUUCCGCCUCUUAGUGCCGAAGCUAACGCAUUAAGUGUUCCGCCUGGGGAGUACGACCGCAAGGUUGAAACUCAAAGGAAUUGACGGGGACCCGCACAAGCGGUGGAGCAUGUGGUUUAAUUCGAAGCAACGCGAAGAACCUUACCAGGUCUUGACAUCCUUUGAAGCUUUUAGAAAUAGAAGUGUUCUCUUCGGAGACAAAGUGACAGGUGGUGCAUGGUCGUCGUCAGCUCGUGUCGUGAGAUGUUGGGUUAAGUCCCGCAACGAGCGCAACCCUUAUUGUUAGUUGCCAGCAUUCAGAUGGGCACUCUAGCGAGACUGCCGGUGACAAACCGGAGGAAGGCGGGGACGACGUCAGAUCAUCAUGCCCCUUAUGACCUGGGCUACACACGUGCUACAAUGGCGUAUACAACGAGUUGCCAACCUGCGAAGGUGAGCUAAUCUCUUAAAGUACGUCUCAGUUCGGACUGCAGUCUGCAACUCGACUGCACGAAGUCGGAAUCGCUAGUAAUCGCGGAUCAGCACGCCGCGGUGAAUACGUUCCCGGGUCUUGUACACACCGCCCGUCACACCAUGGAAGUUUGUAAUGCCCAAAGCCGGUGGCCUAACCGUAAGGAGGGAACC
This 1104-nucleotide ribosomal RNA is filed under the name Leuconostoc carnosum. RNAcentral's name for it is "bacterial SSU rRNA". It matches the Rfam family "Bacterial small subunit ribosomal RNA", at positions 356 to 1454 of the family's 1533-position model. The record is from RNAcentral. Lineage: Bacteria; Bacillati; Bacillota; Bacilli; Lactobacillales; Lactobacillaceae.